AUGAGAUUUAAUAGAAAUGCUACUGCUCUCCGCCCUGGGAUUUUCGCCAUACGAUUUGUGCUCAAAGCAAUGAAAAAUCCUCACGAAGAAGCUAAAACACAGCAAAAUACUGACGAAGGCCCUGCUGAAGAGCAUGCAAUCCAGCAAGCUCCUGUCAAAGGACACGAAGACGGUGAUAUUCAAAGCGCAGAAACAGGCAGCAUGUCUCCUCAUUCAUCAGAAAAGGACACAGAACAAAACAUGAGGAACAAACCACCUGCGGAAGAAAUGAUAACUUACACCAGGCUCAACAGGAACAAACAUCUAGCAACAAGCAAAAAAAAGAGGAAAUCAGAUACAAGCACUGUUUUUACUCCUGGAGCAAAAAGGCAAAAGCAAAAGGACAAUGCUGAAAACAUCAUCGACACUAGAACAUUGCAGCAUCAGCCAUUACCUCUAAUGGUACUCCCGCCAACAGCACCAACCGCCAUGAAGAAACAAGGUGAACGCAAGAAGAAAAACAAACGACAAAGGGUAGAAAAAGAACAAGACGAUACCAACAACAAAGGUUCAGAUACCAAUGAUGACGAUGAUGACAGGGAACAUGAUGCAGAUUUCAUUCCUACAGAUGACGAUGAUGUCGAAGAGCAUGACAGCGACGCAGAACAUGACGAUGAUAACAAAUCAGGACAGAAGGACAGAAAGAGGAGAAAGACAGGCGGAAAAGAAUUGGCAGCACCAACAGUUGACGAAGAACAGCAAGAAACAAACGAAGAGAAAUGCCAAAUCAAGGCAGGGGCAGCAUUCGCUCAUGUCAAGAAAGCAUGGAAUUUACUUAAAGACCGUCACAAGGAAGAUAUUAGGACGGCAGGAUUUGGCAGCAUAGAGAACUGCAAAAUAAAGGGCUCCAUCUGCAGACCACUUGCAGCACACAUCUACGACAACCUGGACACAGAAAGCAUGACAAUCACCUUCGGUGAUGGUACCGAAGACAAGAAAAUCAAGAUUACCAAGGAAGCUAUACACAAGGUGUUUGGAUACCCAAACGGCACGGAAAAGUCAGCACCAAGGCCUGCGAAGAGCCCAACUUCAAUGAAAGAACUGAUGUUAGACCUUGGCUUCAAACAUACAAAUUUCAAGCCAAAAGAACUGUUCAGGUAG
This 1140-nucleotide ribosomal RNA is filed under the name Triticum aestivum (bread wheat). Its description in RNAcentral is "partial small subunit ribosomal RNA". Lineage: Eukaryota; Viridiplantae; Streptophyta; Magnoliopsida; Poales; Poaceae. The record is from RNAcentral.